AAAUCAUCAUGCCCCUUAUGUUCUGGGCUACACACGUGCUACAAUGGCCGGUACAGACGGACGCAAAGCCGCGAGGUGGAGCAAAUCCUAAAAAAGCCGGUCUCAGUUCGGAUUGCAGGCUGCAAUUCGCCUGCAUGAAGUCGGAAUCGCUAGUAAUCGCAGGUCAGCAUACUGCGGUGAAUACGUUCCCGGGCCUU
RNAcentral lists this ribosomal RNA (197 nucleotides) under uncultured Cryptanaerobacter sp. RNAcentral's name for it is "partial 16S ribosomal RNA". It matches the Rfam family "Bacterial small subunit ribosomal RNA", at positions 1187 to 1382 of the family's 1533-position model. Lineage: Bacteria; Bacillati; Bacillota; Clostridia; Eubacteriales; Desulfotomaculaceae. The record is from RNAcentral.